Lactuca sativa (garden lettuce) is the source of this 634-nucleotide non-coding RNA. The record is from RefSeq and is a predicted model, not a curated record. NCBI's taxonomy places the organism in Eukaryota, Viridiplantae, Streptophyta, Magnoliopsida, Asterales, Asteraceae.
CGAAGCGUAUAUAUAUUCAUUCAACCUUUCUUCUCUUCAGUUUACAGUGACGACGAUUCUCUCCGACCUUUCUUCUCAUUCUUUUCAAUGGCGACGAUUAUCUCCGAUUGGAAUGUACGCAAAAUCAAUUGGGAGUUCAUCAUGAAGUAAUUUAUUAACUCAUUUGCUUUGUAAGAUUAACUAAAUGAAGGAAACUCCAAACAACAUAUAGAAAGAAGAGGAGCAAAACAUGGACUCACUUUGCUGGUAUAAGGUAACAUCUUCUUUCCUUCAUGAUUAUUUAACAUCAAUGUCAUGCAAGUUUUAUCGUCUCAAGUCAUUUUAUUUUCAAUCUUUUUUCCUAAUAAGGCAUCACAUUUUGAAAAUUGGUCCAUACUCUAAAACUUUUUCGUAUUAAGACAUUAUAAUUUCAAACUGCAUUUUACUUUCAAUAUUUUAUGAAUUAAGGAAUCAUGCUUUGAAAAAUUCAUUUGACUUUCAAUAUUUUAUCUAUUAAGACAUCAUACUUUGCAAAAUGCAUUAAACUUUCAAACUUUUUCACAUUAAGUCAUCAUACUUGGAAAAUUGCAUUUUUCUAUCAAUUUUUUCAUAUUAAGUCAUCAUACAUUGAAAAUUGCAUUUUUUUUUUAUCAAU